AUGCGUGCAGAGGUGAAUAUGUCUGUGAAGAUAAUCCCUCGUCAUGCACAAUCAUGUGAAAGCAUCAAGAAUGUCGAUGCUUUAGUAUGGUGUCGAUAUGAUCAAAUUAAACAACAGCAUUACUCAUGCUCAUGUCAUAACCUUGUCUAGCUAGCUCUAGUUGUCUAUGUUGAAAUGUUGGGGUCAGUUUUGGCUGCAUAUUGGGUCUUCUUUCUUUGUUAUAAAGGUUUUAUGUGAUACAAUAAGGUUGGUGAUCAUGUGGGAACAAUCUUUUAUUACAAGAGCUGUUAAGAUUUUUAAUAAAUUAAUAUAAGUGAUUUUAAAAGCUCCAUAAUCAUUGCUAUUUGUAUAUUGAUGGUGCGUCUCAGCAUCUCCUUUCCAUUCACUUUCCAUUUGCUUUCUUAAAUUUCUGACAGUAACUGGUCGAUGGCUUUUGUUUGUAAACGUUACCAAGCUUCGCUGUCAGAAAUUUAGGUGAUGCAUGAUCCAUUUAGAUAAUGGAAUGUGGACUGUCAUGAUCCUAUCAUUGUUCUUGGCGAUAUAUAAGAAUUCUCCCUUGAAUUUAUCACAGAAUCAUUGAAUUGAGCAGUUCCCUCCCUUCUCGUGAUUUGUUGACAUGGGAUUAUGUAAAGUUGUCGACUACGAAAUUUAUACGAGUUGCUCUCUAAACACUAAUAUUAUUGAUUAAAAGAGUGAAAUUCUUGUGCAAUUCACAAUAAAAAUUAAGGGAUUCCUAUUCUCACACGUUUUAAAUAAAUGUUUAAUGGGUUAGAAAAUUUAUCAUGUAAAUUCAAAGAUCCAGAUAUAUAUAUAUAUGAUAAAAUGAUAAUGUUUUGGUUAAAAAAAGUCUAUAAAAAUAUUAUUUUGAAUAAAAUUUUAAAAAAUUCAAGUAAUUUAUCAAGGUAUUAUUUAGGUUUAUCGAGCCAACAUCCACUCCAAUAAUAUAAAACCUGGUUCGAGCUAAAUUCUAGAUCAACUAUAUAUGGUUAUAUAAUCACAUUCUUAACGAUUUGUUUUGUAUUUAUUAGUAUAAAAAUUUUCAAUUUAUUUAAUUGGAUGAAUAAAUAUAAUAUAAAAACAUAUUUAUUAAUUUUUUCUACUAGAAAGAAUAAUAUUUGACCCGCAGAAAGCAAUAUGUGUUGCUUGCACAGCCCUGUUUUAGCCUCUGGGCUUCUUAGCCAGUCCUUGUAUAGCCAUGGAAAUGUUGGGCUAAUUAAUAUGCCCUUUAACACAUGGGCUAAGCUCUGUUAAUGAAACCCAGCAGAAAACAUAGAUAAUGGACUGGUCCAUGGCUUUCCUUGGAUUCUCUACUUUCAUGACGAGGCAACAAUUUCAAAUUAGAUUCAUGUGAUUCCUCUCAACAAUUCUGGAAAGCAAUAAUGAUUUUGCUGGGAUUUUUUUCGAAGUUUUUUAUAAAAUUAAAAAUUAAAAAUUAAAAAUAAUUAUUUUUUAAAAAAUGCAGCUGAACGCAAUUUCAAACGGUUAGUUAAACCUGCCUCAGCUUUCAAAGUUGGAAAUCAUAGACGCAACUUCCGGGCCCACAAUUUGCUAACUUUCUUCUUUAUGUCCACACAUAGGGAUAAGAUAAAACGAUGAGCUACUUGCUUUACGACUUGGGUUUCUAAUUUCUCAUUUUUCAUUUUCAUGGUAAAAUAAUAAAUACAAUUUCUUUUUUUCAGGAAACAACAAUCAAACGCCGGCUAAAUUCUUUUACACAUGAGAUAUGGAAAUAUUAACUGAAGAUUUUUAAUUUUUUAUGAGGAAUUUUUUGGGGCACGUGUACGGUUGUCAUGGGUGUUGCAUGGCUCAUUUAUUGACAUGACUAAACUAAGGCACCGUAGGAUGCACUGCAACCUUCGAAAUGAUUAAAAAAAUUGAAGGUGAGAUGUGCCAUCAAAACCAGCACAUGCAUGUGCAUGAUUGGAGGGUCAGCAAUUAAAAAUGAAACGACAAUAUUACGUCAAGCUCAACACCCAAUCCCACGUGUUCUCUUCUUAUUGGCCUCUAGACGCACGGUAUUUAAACUAUGUCCUCACACUUUACUACUUAAGCUGUGAUCAAUCUUCAUUUUAUAAGCCUCCUUUUUGUAUCACAAUCUCCCUCUCACCCUCUGGUCCGUUCCUUCACUCUGCUCUCAAUUCUAUCAUCUCAUCAGGUGCAGAUCAAAGCUCGGACAAAACCAUGGCUGAAAAGGUAUGUGCAUGGAUGGAUGGAUGUGGGGAUUUUGAUAUAUUUCCUUCUUCUUCUUUUCUUGGUUUCGAUUUAUCUUUUAUUUAGCCCAUUCAUGUGGGUUUUUCUUCUUUUUACGUGGUGUGGUCAUUGUUUUUGGCCCUAUGGACCUCAUCUUCUUUUUAAUUUUCUUUACUGAUCAAUAUCCUUCCAUGUCAGAAAGUGUUCCGGUCCUUUCAAUAUUCUUCCUGGCUUAGAAAUUAUGUCCUUGUGUUUAAUUAUGUGCUCAUAUUGCAGAAAGUCACAAUAAUGGUGAUCAAGGUUGACCUUGAAUGUGAGAAAUGCCACAAGAAAAUCAAGAAAGUACUGUGUAGGAUCCCUCGUGAGUGCCUCUUUCUCCAUUUACUAUAACUUAGUUUGAGCUGUUUUAAGAUGAAAGGAAAGUGGCUAAGUUGUUUUUGUGGAUUGUGAACAAGAGAAAUUCAGAGCCAGAUAUAUGACACGAAGGCAGGCACAGUGACCAUCACUGUGGUAUGUUGCAGUCCUGAAAAGAUCAAGGAAAAGAUAAUCUGUAAGGGAGGUGAAGCUGUCAAGAGCAUUGAGAUCAAGGUUCCAGAGAAACCCAAAGCAGCACCAGAGAAACCCAAACAACCGGAGAAGCCGAAAGAACCUGAGAAGCCUAAGCAACCAGAGAAGCCGAAAGAACCGGAGAAGCCGAAAGAACCGGAGAAGCCGAAAGAACCUGAGAAGCCCAAGCAACCAGAGAAGCCGAAAGAACCGGAGAAACCCAAAGAACCAGAGAAGGCCAAAGAACCGGAGAAGCCUAAAGCGCUUCUUGUUGAACAACCAAAACCCAAAGAACCGGCCCCAAACCCAGCUCCAAACCCGGCACCACCACCACCACCACCUAAAGCUCCGGAACCAGUCCACCCGAGGACAUGUUGUGCUGAAUGCUACCAUGGGAUUAGUGGAGGCCCAUGUUAUCAUGACUAUGGUGGGCCAGCACCCCCAAGUUAUGAAGCUUAUGGAAGGCCAGUGUAUGAUAAUUGGGGUGGCGGCGGCGGCGGCGGCGGCUGUGGUUGCCAAAGAAGCGGUUACUAUGUGUGCAGAUGCGAAUAUGUCUGUGAAGAUAAUCCCUCGUCAUGCUCAAUCAUGUGAAAGCGUCUAGAAUGUCGAUAUUGCCUUAAGCCGAUUUCCACCAAAAAUCACUGGAUUUGGACAGUAGUAUGGUGUCGAUAUGAUCAAAUCAAACAAUAGCAUUACUCAUGCUCAUGUCAUAACCUUGUCUAGCUAGUCAGUUUUGGCUGCAUAUUGGGUCUUCUUCCUUCGUUAUAGAGAUUUUAUGUGAUACAAUAAGGUUGGUGAUGUGGGAACAAUAUUUUAUUACAGGUUUACAAAUGUUAAGAUUUUUAAUAAAUUAACAAAAGGGAUUUUAAAGCUUCCAUAAUAAUCAUUGCUAUUUGUAUAUAUAGUGAUGGUGCAUCCCAGCAUCUCCUUUCCAUUCACUUUCCAUUUGCUUUCUUUAAUUUCUGACAGUAACUGAUCGAUGGCUUUUGUUUGCAAGCUUCGCUGUCAGAAAUUUAGGUGAUGCAUGAUCCAUCUAGAUAAUGGAAUGUGGACUGUCGUGAUUCCAUCAUUGUACUUGGCGAUAAGAAUUCUACCAUGAAUGAGCAGUUCCCUUCCCUCUCUUGAUUUGUUGAUAUGAGAUUUAUGUAAAGUUGCCGACUACGAAAUUUAUAUGAGUUGCUCUCUAAACACUAACAUUAUUGAAAAUAUAUUAAAAUAAAAUAUAUACUUUUUAUUUUUCAAAAUUCAUUCUUAUACCAAUAUAUCAAAACAAUCAAAAUAUAUAUAUAUAUAUAUAUAUAAGAUUUUUAAAAAAUACAGUUGAUCGUAAUUUCAAACGAUUAGUUAAACCUGCCUCCGCUUUCAAAGUUGGCACUCAUGGACGCAACUUCUGGGCCCACAAUUUGUUAUCUUUCUUCUUUAUGUCAACACAUAGGGAUGAGGGGAUAGCCAUCCCUAAUUUCUUAACGACUUGGGUUUCAUAUCAUUAUAAUUAUACAGAUUUUUGUCGUUUAGAUUACAUGAAGUAUUCCAUGGUGAUGAUAGGAAUUAGUAAUAAUUUAUUAAUUAUUUUAUAAGAUGUACUUUUUGAAAAAAUAUAAAUACAAGAGAGAGUAAUACAAAUAUCUCAACAUAUUAAUUAUUUUUUUCUUAUUAUCGUUAAAAUUAUGUGUUGUUAGUGUAGAACGGAGGAUAAAAAUAAGAAUAUAAAAUAAAUUGUUUUUGUAAUAAUUAAAAAAAAUUAUAUACUUUCAAAAUAAUAAAUAUAAUAAUUCAAGUUUUCUAUGUUUUAAUCACGAAACAACAAUCAAACACCGGCUAAAUUCUUUUAACAUGAGAUAUGGAAAUAUUAAUUGAAGAUUUUUAUUUUUUUAUGGGGAAUUUUUUGGGACACGUGUAAGGUUGUCAUGGGGUUUGCAUGGCUCGUUUAUGACAUGACUAUACUAAUGCACCGUAGGAUGCACUACAACCUUCGAAAUGAUUAACAAAAUUGAAGGUGAGACGUGUCCAUAAAAGCCAGCACAUGCACAUGCAGGAUUAGAGGGUCAGCAAUAAAAAAUAAAACGACAAUAUGACGUCAAGCUCAACACCCAACCCCACGUGUUCUCUUCUUAUUGGCCUCUAGAUGCACGGUAUUUAAAACAUGGUCUCACACUUCUACUACUUAAGUUGUGAUCAAUCUUAAUUUUACAAGCGUCUUUUUUGUGUCUCAAAUCUCCCUCUCACCCUCUGGUCGGUUCCUUCACUCUGCUCUCAAUUCUAUCAUCUCAUCAGGUCCAGAUCAAAGCUUAGACAAAACCAUGGCUGAAAAGGUAUGUGCAUGGAUGGAUGUGGAUAUUUUGAUAUAUUUUCCUUCUUCUCUUGGUUUAGAUUUAUCUUUUAUUAAUUAGCCCAUUCAUGUGGGUUUUUCUUCUUUUCAUGUGGUGAUCAUUGUCUUUGGCCCUAUGGAGUAUGGACCUCAUCUUCUUGUUCAUCAUCUUUACUGAUCAAUAUCCUUCCAUGUCAGAAAGUGUUCCGGUCCUUUCAAUAUUCUUCUUGGCUUAGAAUGUCCUUGUUUUUAUGUGCUCCUAUUGCAGAAAGUCACAAUAAUGGUGAUCAAGGUUGACCUUGAAUGUGAGAAAUGCCAAAAGAAAAUCAAGAAAGUACUGUGUAGAAUCCCUCGUGAGUGCCUCUUUCUCCAUGUAUCAUAACUUAGUUUGACUUGAAUUUUAAGAUGAAAGGAAAGUGGCUAAGUUGUUUUUGUGGAUUGUGAACAAGAGAAAUUCAGAGCCAGAUAUAUGACAAGAAGGCAGGCACAGUGACCAUCACUGUGGUAUGUUGCAGUCCUGAAAAGAUCAAGGAAAAGAUAAUCUGUAAGGGAGGUGAAGCUGUCCAGUGCAUUAAGAUCAAGGUUCCAGAGAUACCCAAAGAACCACCAGCUAAACCUAAAGAACCGGAGAAGCCAAAAGAACCUGAAAACCCUAAGCAACCGGAGAAUCCCAAAGAACCGGAGAAGCCCAAAGAACCAGAGAAACCCAAAGAACCGGAGAAACCCAAAGAACCGGAGAAACCCAAAGAACCGGAGAAACCGGCAGAACCAGUCCACCCAAGGACAUGUUGUACUGAAUGCUACCAUGGGAUCAGUGGAGGCCCAUGUUAUCAUGACUAUAGGAGGCCAGCACCCGCCCCAAUCCCAGCUCCAAUCCCGGCACCACCACCACCUAAAGCUCCGGAAGUAGUCCACCCAAGGACAUGUUGUUCUGAAUGCUACCAUGGGAUUAGCGGAGGCCCGUGUUAUCAUGACUUUAGGAGGCCAGCACCCGCCCUAAUCCCAGCUCCAAACCCGGCACCACCACCACCUAAAGCUCCGGAACCAGUCCACCCAAGGACAUGUUGUGCUGAAUGCUACCAUGGGAUUAGCGGAGGCCCAUGUUAUCAAGACUAUGGUAGGCCAGCACCCCCAUGUUAUGAAGGUUAUGGAAGGCCAGUGUAUGAUAGUUGGUCUGGCGGCGGCGGCGGCUGCGGUUGCCAAAGAAGCGGUUACUAUGUGUGUAGAUGUGAAUAUGUCUGUGAAGAUAAUCCCUCGUCAUGCUCAAUCAUGUGAAAGCAUCUAGAAUGUCGAUAUUGCCUUAAGCCGAUUUCCACCAAAACUCACUGGGUUUGGACAUUAUUAUUGAGUCGAUAUGAUCAAAUUAAACAAUAGCAUUACUUAUGCUCAUGUCAUAACCUUGUCUAGCUAGCUAUUUGUCUAUGUUGAAAUGUUGGGGUUAGUUUUGGCUGCAUUUUGGGUCUUCUUCCUUCGUGAUAAAGAUUUUAUUACAAGAUUUGUUAAGAUUUUUAAUAUAUUAAUAUAAGGGAUCUUAAAGCUUCCAUAAUCAUUGCUAUUUGUAUAGUGAUAGUGCAUCUCAGCAUCUCCUUUGCCUUCAAUUUCUAUUUGCUCUCUUUAAUUUCUGAC
RNAcentral lists this long non-coding RNA (6670 nucleotides) under Populus tremula. Its description in RNAcentral is "long non-coding RNA (PTRE_LNC002614)". The record is from RNAcentral. Lineage: Eukaryota; Viridiplantae; Streptophyta; Magnoliopsida; Malpighiales; Salicaceae.